GGCCUGGUGGUGAAAUUGGCAGACACGCAGCACUUAGGAUGCUGUGCCCGAAAGGCGUGCGGGUUCGAGUCCCGCCUGGGCCA
Molecule: transfer RNA, 83 nt
Filed under: Kapaibacterium sp. (SeqCode)
Lineage: Bacteria; Pseudomonadati; Bacteroidota; Eximiradiia; Eximiradiales; Kapaibacteriaceae (SeqCode)
Description: tRNA-Leu
Rfam family: tRNA
About the family: Transfer RNA (tRNA) molecules are approximately 80 nucleotides in length. Their secondary structure includes four short double-helical elements and three loops (D, anti-codon, and T loops).
Source: RNAcentral